CGUUCUGUGGCGUAGUUGGUUAACGCACUCAGACUAGCGAAUUGGGAGUCGUGGGAUCGAAACCCACCAGAACGA
Aedes aegypti (yellow fever mosquito) is the source of this 75-nucleotide non-coding RNA. NCBI's taxonomy places the organism in Eukaryota, Metazoa, Arthropoda, Insecta, Diptera, Culicidae. The record is from Rfam.